AUUCUGCCCAUGCGGGGAAGGAUGAGAAGCUUCGACCAAGGUUCGACUCGAGCGCCAGCGAGAGAGCGUUGCCGCAGGCAACGACCCGUAG
Molecule: small RNA, 91 nt
Filed under: Escherichia coli
Lineage: Bacteria; Pseudomonadati; Pseudomonadota; Gammaproteobacteria; Enterobacterales; Enterobacteriaceae
Description: partial RtT sRNA
Rfam family: RtT RNA
About the family: This family represents a bacterial cis-regulatory element known as RtT RNA. The exact function of RtT is unknown although it is thought that it may be involved in changing the cellular response in relation to amino acid starvation.
Source: RNAcentral